Molecule: ribosomal RNA, 532 nt
Filed under: Bacillus sp. (in: firmicutes)
Lineage: Bacteria; Bacillati; Bacillota; Bacilli; Caryophanales; Bacillaceae
Description: bacterial SSU rRNA
Rfam family: Bacterial small subunit ribosomal RNA
Source: RNAcentral
UGCAAGUCGAGCGGACAGAUGGGAGCUUGCUCCCUGAUGUUAGCGGCGGACGGGUGAGUAACACGUGGGUAACCUGCCUGUAAGACUGGGAUAACUCCGGGAAACCGGGGCUAAUACCGGAUGGUUGUUUGAACCGCAUGGUUCAGACAUAAAAGGUGGCUUCGGCUACCACUUACAGAUGGACCCGCGGCGCAUUAGCUAGUUGGUGAGGUAACGGCUCACCAAGGCAACGAUGCGUAGCCGACCUGAGAGGGUGAUCGGCCACACUGGGACUGAGACACGGCCCAGACUCCUACGGGAGGCAGCAGUAGGGAAUCUUCCGCAAUGGACGAAAGUCUGACGGAGCAACGCCGCGUGAGUGAUGAAGGUUUUCGGAUCGUAAAGCUCUGUUGUUAGGGAAGAACAAGUGCCGUUCAAAUAGGGCGGCACCUUGACGGUACCUAACCAGAAAGCCACGGCUAACUACGUGCCAGCAGCCGCGGUAAUACGUAGGUGGCAAGCGUUGUCCGGAAUUAUUGGGCGUAAAGGGCUC